UUAAUCUCUGAGAUAGGGCUAAAUCACCAAGCUCCCAGGAUGGCCUCAAACUUGUGAUCCUCUUGCUUCAGCUUCCCAGAUUGCCGGGAUUACAGCCUGGUGGCACCACACCUGACGUUCUAGUCUGCAUCUUGAUGGUUUCACUGCAUAUCCAAUUUCUUGAGCAUCAGCGAUGGACCAAGAAAGAUGCCACACAUGGAUUUAUCUCAUUACACAACAAGAGAAAUCGAAGUCAUCCAUAGAAAGAUCAAAAUAGAGAACAAGAGACUAAAACACCGUUGCAGUGAAUUAGAAGAAAAAUAUGAAGCCUCAGAGCUGCAGAUAACACAAAUAUUGACCAUCUACAGACACCAGUUGCAGCAGAAAGAGGUCGAAAUCAGCCUGCUGAAGGCAAGAGAGGGUGCACUGCAGGAAGAGCUGCUGAAGCUGCAGCAAGCCACUCAGGCGGUGCCCUUAGGGACCGACGGUGCACCAGCACCCACUGAGUCAUCUUAUGCCACCUACGGGACCCAUCAUGGUGCUUCAGCUGGCUAUGACGAGGACAUGGACUUUGAAGACCUGAUUUCCUGUCAACAACAAAUUAACCGUCUGACCAAUGAAGUCUCAAGACUUCAAUCUGAUGUGGGCCAUUGGAGGCGCAUUGCCCAGGUAGGUGAAUCUGCGUGAGUUUAAAAAGCUAGAAGUGAGUACGAAUAGCGGUGCUGU
Molecule: long non-coding RNA, 705 nt
Filed under: Chinchilla lanigera (long-tailed chinchilla)
Lineage: Eukaryota; Metazoa; Chordata; Mammalia; Rodentia; Chinchillidae
Description: lncRNA (ENSCLAG00000025365.1)
Source: RNAcentral